AAUAUAAGAAACCAUGUUAGUUAACAACCACUGGCUUAAUUAAUUAGCUUGUAUACCAGAAAGUCUGUAUCCACGUUAGAUUAAUAAAUUUUGAUGGCUAACUAAAGAUUAUGUAAGCAAAUUUGGUGUCCAAUAGUCAUAAUUCAAAACUUUUCAUUUUUAUCUUUCAAGAGUUCUUUAUUAAUGUUUUCUAUUGUUUUUCAAAGAAAUAACUGUAGCCCACAGCAAUCCUCUCCCCAAUCUCCUUUUUUUUCUUUUUUUUUUUCUUUUAUGAUUCUAUACCUCCAAUUCUCACCCAAUCACCCUUACACUACGGCAACUCUGAAGCAAAGGAUGGCAAUUUGACAAUCGAAAUUGCACUUAACCUGGCACGUGAUAAAAGCUCUUCUCCAUGUUUCUCAACAUUUCGCCGGAAGAUGUGGGAGUUGUUCGCCGGAGCGAGAUCCAUCGCCAGAGGCGGCGGAGUUGUUCGCCAGCGGGACAUCCGACCACGUCGGUAGAUCGCCGGUGGAGGUGUGGCGCAUUCGUACAGAUAUGCUAGACAGUGCUGGGAGCUUUUUUUCAAUUUAUGUGGGAUUUUCUGGACCAUACCUCAGAAUGUCAUGAACCUUUUGAAUGGUUGACAGCAUCAGAAGACACAUAAAGCACUUAAACAGAUUUGGAGAACCAAACCUCUAUGCAUAUUCUGGAUUAUUUGGAUAGAGAGGAAUAGAGCUUGCUUUGAUGGGCAGAAAGAUCAUAUUUCUAGAAUAAA
Long non-coding RNA from Nicotiana attenuata, 754 nucleotides. RefSeq lists it as uncharacterized. The transcript has 2 exons. Lineage: Eukaryota; Viridiplantae; Streptophyta; Magnoliopsida; Solanales; Solanaceae. The record is from RefSeq and is a predicted model, not a curated record.